CCUACGGGAGGCAGCAGUGAGGAAUAUUGGUCAAUGGCCGGAAGGCUGAACCAGCCAAGCCGCGUGAAGGACGAAGGUGCCAAGCAUUGUAAACUUCUUUUGUCAAGGGACAAAAUCAGGCUCGAGAGCCUGACCGAGGGUACUUGAAGAAAAAGCAUCGGCUAACUCCGUGCCAGCAGCCGCGGUAAUACGGAGGAUGCGAGCGUUAUCCGGAUUUAUUGGGUUUAAAGGGUGCGUAGGCGGACGGUUAAGUCAGCGGUAAAAGCCCGGGGCUCAACCCCGGCGAGCCGUUGAAACUGGCUGUCUGGAGAGGUCGAGAGGUAUGUGGAAUGCGCGGUGUAGGGGUGAAAUGCGUAGAUAUCGAGAAGAACUCCGAUUGCGAAGGCGGCAUACCGGCGGAGAUCUGACGCUGAGGCACGAAAGCGUGGGUAGCGAACAGGAUUAGAUACCCUAGUAGUC
This 459-nucleotide ribosomal RNA is filed under the name uncultured bacterium. RNAcentral's name for it is "partial 16S ribosomal RNA". It matches the Rfam family "Bacterial small subunit ribosomal RNA", at positions 338 to 795 of the family's 1533-position model. The record is from RNAcentral.